Sus scrofa (pig) is the source of this 303-nucleotide non-coding RNA. The record is from RefSeq and is a predicted model, not a curated record. Lineage: Eukaryota; Metazoa; Chordata; Mammalia; Artiodactyla; Suidae.
CCGAGGUAGUGUGGCUCCAGAGCACUGCUCCUCCCCAAACCACCUUACUGGGGAGCGAGAAGACAGAGCCGAUUUAUUCAAAGAAUUGUUACCAUAAUUGGAAGGGAGAGGCAGUGGAAAUUUACUUUGCUAAUACAAGCAGCAAAUUUUUAAUUGAAAAGAAAAUACAUUGAAAGAGGCCAUGUGUGGCAGCAUGAGCUGAAAAUUUCUAAGCUUUGCAGACCAAUGUAAAGGGAGAAACUUAGUGACCAGAAAAAAGUCACUCAGCAACAUGGAUUAAAAGAAACAUGGAUAUGGUAUGUC